This 510-nucleotide ribosomal RNA is filed under the name uncultured bacterium. Its description in RNAcentral is "partial 16S ribosomal RNA". It matches the Rfam family "Bacterial small subunit ribosomal RNA", at positions 28 to 507 of the family's 1533-position model. The record is from RNAcentral.
GACGAACGCUGGCGGCGUGCUUAACACAUGCAAGUCGAACGAAGAGCGAUGGAAGCUUGCUUCUAUCAAUCUUAGUGGCGAACGGGUGAGUAACGCGUAAUCAACCUGCCCUUCAGAGGGGGACAACAGUUGGAAACGACUGCUAAUACCGCAUACGAUCUAAUCUCGGCAUCGAGGAUAGAUGAAAGGUGGCCUCUACAUGUAAGCUAUCACUGAAGGAGGGGAUUGCGUCUGAUUAGCUAGUUGGAGGGGUAACGGCCCACCAAGGCGAUGAUCAGUAGCCGGUCUGAGAGGAUGAACGGCCACAUUGGGACUGAGACACGGCCCAGACUCCUACGGGAGGCAGCAGUGGGGAAUCUUCCGCAAUGGACGAAAGGCUGACGGAGCAACGCCGCGUGAGUGAUGACGGCCGUCGGGUUGUAAAGCUCUGUUAAUCGGGACGAAAGGCCUUCUUGCGAAUAGUGAGAAGGAUUGACGGUACCGGAAUAGAAAGCCACGGCUAACUACGUG